Molecule: long non-coding RNA, 237 nt
Filed under: Phoenix dactylifera (date palm)
Lineage: Eukaryota; Viridiplantae; Streptophyta; Magnoliopsida; Arecales; Arecaceae
Description: long non-coding RNA (PDAC_LNC023044)
Source: RNAcentral
UCUAAAAGAUGAAAAUCAAUCUCUUAUCAAAGAAAAGCUAAAACUAUCUAAUGACUAUGAAACAUUAAGUAGGAGAUUCACCAAUGAAACCAAAAGUCAAAUUGCUGAAAAUGUCAAGUUAAAAGAAGAUGCAGAAAAAUACAAAUCCUUAGUGGACAAGUUUACACUUAGCUCAACUAAAUUAAAUAUGAUUCUUGAUAGUCAAAAAGCUGUAUAUGAUAAAGCUGGGUUAGGAUA